Molecule: long non-coding RNA, 517 nt
Organism: Erigeron canadensis
Lineage: Eukaryota; Viridiplantae; Streptophyta; Magnoliopsida; Asterales; Asteraceae
Exons: 3
Source: RefSeq, a predicted model, not a curated record
GGAUUUUUUAUUAUUUAUAUUUGUAUUGGGGAUUUCUAGGGCUUUUCCACAAUUGGAACUUGGGAUAGGACUGAUCUUGAUCUCUAAUACUACAAGAAUGUGGCUUCUGGUCUAAAUGUAAUUAUCCAAAUAGAAAGAUGGAGAAAUAUGGUCAAGUUGCAGCAACAGAAGCUUCUGAUGACGGUGGAUGAUGUUUAUAAAGGGAGCUAACACCAGAUAAAAUUAAGCGAAUGACCUUCUAGAGCAAGAUUGUGGGAAUCGAAAACGAUGCAAGCUGGAGCUAUACUGAAUUUGACAGACAUAUCUGUGACUGCAAAAAUUGACGGCACUUGGGGAUCUAACAAAUAAUGUUUGUGAUCUUAAUGUAACUAAUGAUGGGCCUGAAGUGUAUGAGACAUGUACAGCUCAUUUACUUUUCCCUCCGGUAAGUUAUGAGUUAAUCUUUUGUUGUAAAUGUGUAUUCGCUUGAAAACGGUCUUAGAUUUGGUUGGAUGCUUAUGCGAAUUCCCCUAUAAAU